GGGAUUAUAGUUUAAGAAGAAUGAGAAUUUUGUAAGUUUUUAGUAAGUGAUAUUUGGUCCUU
This 62-nucleotide transfer RNA is filed under the name Calyptogena pacifica. RNAcentral's name for it is "tRNA-Thr". The record is from RNAcentral. Lineage: Eukaryota; Metazoa; Mollusca; Bivalvia; Venerida; Vesicomyidae.